AACGAACGCUGGCGGCAGGCUUAACACAUGCAAGUCGAGCGCCCCGCAAGGGGAGCGGCAGACGGGUGAGUAACGCGUGGGAAUCUACCUUUUGCUACGGAAUAGCGCAGGGAAACUUGUGCUAAUACCGUGUGUGCCCUUCGGGGGAAAGAUUUAUCGGCAAAGGAUGAGCCCGCGUUGGAUUAGCUAGUUGGUGGGGUAAAGGCCUACCAAGGCGACGAUCCAUAGCUGGUCUGAGAGGAUGAUCAGCCACAUUGGGACUGAGACACGGCCCAAACUCCUACGGGAGGCAGCAGUGGGGAAUAUUGGACAAUGGGCGCAAGCCUGAUCCAGCCAUGCCGCGUGAGUGAUGAAGGCCUUAGGGUUGUAAAGCUCUUUCACCGGUGAAGAUAAUGACGGUAACCGGAGAAGAAGCCCCGGCUAACUUCGUGCCAGCCGCCGCUGUAA
RNAcentral lists this ribosomal RNA (447 nucleotides) under uncultured bacterium. RNAcentral describes it as "partial 16S ribosomal RNA". It matches the Rfam family "Bacterial small subunit ribosomal RNA", at positions 29 to 523 of the family's 1533-position model. The record is from RNAcentral.